This 468-nucleotide ribosomal RNA is filed under the name uncultured bacterium. RNAcentral's name for it is "partial 16S ribosomal RNA". It matches the Rfam family "Bacterial small subunit ribosomal RNA", at positions 28 to 507 of the family's 1533-position model. The record is from RNAcentral.
GACGAACGCUGGCGGCGUGCUUAACACAUGCAAGUCGAACGGAAAGGCCCUGCUUUUGUGGGGUGCUCGAGUGGCGAACGGGUGAGUAACACGUGAGCAACCUGCCCUUGACUUUGGGAUAACUUCAGGAAACUGGGGCUAAUACCGGACAGGAGCUCCCGUUGCAUGGUGGGGGUUGGAAAGUUUCGGCGGGUGGGGAUGGACUCGCGGCUUAUCAGCUUGUUGGUGGGGUAGUGGCUUACCAAGGCUUUGACGGGUCGCCGGCAUGAGAGGGUGACCGGCCACAUUGGGACUGAGGGAGGGAGCAGACUCGUACGGGAGGCAGCAGUGGGGAAUAUUGCACAAUGGGCGGAAGCCUGAGGCAGCAGCGCCGCGGGCGGGAUGACGGCCUUCGGGUUGUAAACCGCUUUCGCCUGUGACGAAGCGUGAGUGACGGUAAUGGGUAAAGAAGCACCGGCUAACUACGUG